This 86-nucleotide non-coding RNA is filed under the name Candidatus Omnitrophota bacterium. RNAcentral describes it as "Omnitrophica WOR c-di-GMP sequence". It matches the Rfam family "c-di-GMP-I riboswitch aptamer". From Rfam's summary of the family: GEMM was predicted in a large-scale screen for bacterial structured RNA regulatory elements. Genes associated with GEMM are involved in a diverse array of functions, including chemotaxis regulation, signal transduction, secretion and chitin. The record is from RNAcentral. Lineage: Bacteria; Pseudomonadati; Candidatus Omnitrophota.
ACAAUCCAAAGGCAAACCCGUCGCAAGGCGGGGACGCAAAGCUAUAGGGCCAUGUACCGUAUGGUACAUGGCAGCCAGUUGCCGCG